GUAACCCCGUACAGAAGUCACAAACAAUUCCCACGUGAGUCACCGGUACAAUCAUCACCAUCAUCAGCGCAGCCAUUACCUCCAGCCUUGCCCUGCCUCGCCUUGCCUUGCCCAGCUCCAUUAACGCCACAAAAUGUUCAAAUUGAUGCCCUCCGCCCCUGAGCCACGCCGCCCUGAACGAGGAGGGAUCAAAGGCGCCAUUAUGGGUGUUUACUACGACCCUUUCAAGUGGUCAGUGGUGAAGAGUGUCAUUUUCUUCAUAGUCGGAGUCAAGACAGCCAAUGACCUUGUGGGAUUUGAUGUUUUAGCCCCCAGCCCUCAAUAAAGAAGAGGAAGAAGAAGAAGAAGAAGAAAACCCCCAUAACCCCCAAGAGAGAGAGAGUGAGAGAGUGUAAAUAUGACGAGUUUUGUGUUCUGUUUGUAAGAAUGUGUGAUGAUGAUGAUGAUGAUGAUGAUGUGUAAGAAUAAAUAAAAUUAUAAUGAAGUAA
Long non-coding RNA from Portunus trituberculatus (swimming crab), 488 nucleotides. RefSeq lists it as uncharacterized. The transcript has 3 exons. The record is from RefSeq and is a predicted model, not a curated record. Lineage: Eukaryota; Metazoa; Arthropoda; Malacostraca; Decapoda; Portunidae.